Molecule: ribosomal RNA, 758 nt
Filed under: Microbacterium sp.
Lineage: Bacteria; Bacillati; Actinomycetota; Actinomycetes; Micrococcales; Microbacteriaceae
Description: bacterial SSU rRNA
Rfam family: Bacterial small subunit ribosomal RNA
Source: RNAcentral
ACAUGCAAGUCGAACGGUGAACAUGGAGCUUGCUCUGUGGGAUCAGUGGCGAACGGGUGAGUAACACGUGAGCAACCUGCCCCUGACUCUGGGAUAAGCGCUGGAAACGGCGUCUAAUACUGGAUAUGUGACGUGACCGCAUGGUCUGCGUCUGGAAAGAAUUUCGGUUGGGGAUGGGCUCGCGGCCUAUCAGCUUGUUGGUGAGGUAAUGGCUCACCAAGGCGUCGACGGGUAGCCGGCCUGAGAGGGUGACCGGCCACACUGGGACUGAGACACGGCCCAGACUCCUACGGGAGGCAGCAGUGGGGAAUAUUGCACAAUGGGCGCAAGCCUGAUGCAGCAACGCCGCGUGAGGGACGACGGCCUUCGGGUUGUAAACCUCUUUUAGCAGGGAAGAAGCGAAAGUGACGGUACCUGCAGAAAAAGCGCCGGCUAACUACGUGCCAGCAGCCGCGGUAAUACGUAGGGCGCAAGCGUUAUCCGGAAUUAUUGGGCGUAAAGAGCUCGUAGGCGGUUUGUCGCGUCUGCUGUGAAAUCCGGAGGCUCAACCUCCGGCCUGCAGUGGGUACGGGCAGACUAGAGUGCGGUAGGGGAGAUUGGAAUUCCUGGUGUAGCGGUGGAAUGCGCAGAUAUCAGGAGGAACACCGAUGGCGAAGGCAGAUCUCUGGGCCGUAACUGACGCUGAGGAGCGAAAGGGUGGGGAGCAAACAGGCUUAGAUACCCUGGUAGUCCACCCCGUAAACGUUGGGAACUAGUUG